GUGGCGAACGGGUGAGUAACACGUGAGUAACCUGCCCUUGACUCUGGGAUAAGCGUUGGAAACGACGUCUAAUACCGGAUACGAGCUGGGACCGCAUGGUCACCAGCUGGAAAGAACUUCGGUCAAGGAUGGACUCGCGGCCUAUCAGCUAGUUGGUGAGGUAACGGCUCACCAAGGCGACGACGGGUAGCCGGCCUGAGAGGGUGACCGGCCACACUGGGACUGAGACACGGCCCAGACUCCUACGGGAGGCAGCAGUGGGGAAUAUUGCACAAUGGGCGCAAGCCUGAUGCAGCAACGCCGCGUGAGGGACGACGGCCUUCGGGUUGUAAACCUCUUUUAGCAGGGAAGAAGCGAAAGUGACGGUACCUGCAGAAAAAGCACCGGCUAACUACGUGCCAGCAGCCGCGGUAAUACGUAGGGUGCAAGCGUUGUCCGGAAUUAUUGGGCGUAAAGAGCUCGUAGGCGGUCUGUCGCGUCUGCUGUGAAAACCCGAGGCUCAACCUCGGGCCUGCAGUGGGUACGGGCAGACUAGAGUGCGGUAGGGGAGAUUGGAAUUCCUGGUGUAGCGGUGGAAUGCGCAGAUAUCAGGAGGAGCACCGAUGGCGAAGGCAGAUCUCUGGGCCGUAACUGACGCUGAGGAGCGAAAGCGUGGGGAGCGAACAGGAUUAGAUACCCUGGUAGUCCAC
RNAcentral lists this ribosomal RNA (689 nucleotides) under uncultured Actinobacteridae bacterium. RNAcentral's name for it is "bacterial SSU rRNA". It matches the Rfam family "Bacterial small subunit ribosomal RNA", at positions 95 to 798 of the family's 1533-position model. Lineage: Bacteria; Bacillati; Actinomycetota; Actinomycetes. The record is from RNAcentral.